Molecule: non-coding RNA, 82 nt
Organism: Martensiomyces pterosporus
Lineage: Eukaryota; Fungi; Kickxellomycota; Kickxellomycetes; Kickxellales; Kickxellaceae
Source: the annotation of a GenBank genome assembly
AGUUGUGUGGCCGAGUGGUUUAAGGCGGCAGACUUAAGUUCUGCUCUCUCUGAGAUCGUGGGUUCGAACCCCACCGCAACUA